UCUGUGAAAAACAAGCCUCUUAAACUGAACGAAUGAGUAACCAUGAUGUGUGGGUUGUGCUUUCUACACAGCAACGUCUGGGAAGACCCUUCUGUGAAAAGCUAUCUGAGAACAAUUGGGGAUGCUUUGGUGCUCCUACUCGCCUCCCACAGCCCUUUGUAUCAGCAGCUCAGUGGAGACAGUCUGACAGCAAGAUUCUUUUGUUAUUUGAAAUUUCAGGAUUAAGAGCCACAGAAAAUGAAUUAUGGUUACUCUCACUGACAGGAGAUCAGAAGAAAAUUCAUUUUCAAAAGUCUACCUAAGUCCAAGAAAGAUUCUGCAUCCUGUGUCUUCUUAAUUCUUCUUCACAGGUACCUCCAGGACACAAUGCAAGCAUGCUCCUUGUCAUAUACAGGGACAUGCACAAUGCAACUUGUUGGGAACAUUCAGCAUUGUUACCAACAAAGCACAUGUGUUCUGAUCCAUUCUGUGUCCAGCCCUGAGUGCAAGAACACACGACUCAAGAGCCACAUGUGCACUCCUGCCAUGACAAACUGCCCAGUAAGAUCCUUCACACAAUAAAGAACUCCCUACAUGGAUCCAGGCUGUAGGUAUAUUGAUUUAAUUGUUUCUUUUUACAAAUACCAAGAAAAUAAUGGCAUGUUUCUCAAAGUUUACCUGGAGAACAUGUCCUAAUCCUUUUUCAUGAAUUGAAGCCUAAGGAUUUCAACUUUGGUUUGGAUUUUUUUUUUAA
Long non-coding RNA from Cyanistes caeruleus (blue tit), 733 nucleotides. RefSeq lists it as uncharacterized. The record is from RefSeq and is a predicted model, not a curated record. Lineage: Eukaryota; Metazoa; Chordata; Aves; Passeriformes; Paridae.